Molecule: small nucleolar RNA, 107 nt
Filed under: Ophiocordyceps unilateralis
Lineage: Eukaryota; Fungi; Ascomycota; Sordariomycetes; Hypocreales; Ophiocordycipitaceae
Description: A. fumigatus snoRNA Afu_304
Rfam family: A. fumigatus snoRNA Afu_304
Source: Rfam by way of RNAcentral
UUGCGUGAUGACAAAAGGCCUUUGGGCCUGAUCUAAUCCCAGCUCGUCGAAUGCCUCACCAAAUACAACGCUAGAGUGCAUCAUGAGAUGAAAUCUCAUCUGACACC